RNAcentral lists this ribosomal RNA (253 nucleotides) under uncultured bacterium. RNAcentral's name for it is "partial 16S ribosomal RNA". It matches the Rfam family "Bacterial small subunit ribosomal RNA", at positions 524 to 776 of the family's 1533-position model. The record is from RNAcentral.
UACGUAGGGGGCCAGCGUUGUUCGGAAUUACUGGGUGUAAAGGGUUCGUAGGCGGUGCGGUAAGUUGGUUGUGAAAUCUCUGGGCUUAACCCAGAGGCUGCUUCCAAAACUGCUGUGCUUGAGUGUGGGAGAGGCGCGUGGAAUUGCAGGUGUAGCGGUGAAAUGCGUAGAUAUCUGCAGGAACACCCGUGGCGAAAGCGGCGCGCUGGACCACUACUGACGCUGAGGAACGAAAGCUAGGGGAGCAAACAGG